AGUGAGCGCUGGCGGUAGGCCUAACACAUGCAAGUCGAACGGCAGCACAGUAAGAGCUUGCUCUUACGGGUGGCGAGUGGCGGACGGGUGAGGAAUACAUCGGAAUCUACUUUUUCGUGGGGGAUAACGUAGGGAAACUUACGCUAAUACCGCAUACGACCUACGGGUGAAAGCAGGGGAUCUUCGGACCUUGCGCGAUUGAAUGAGCCGAUGUCGGAUUAGCUAGUUGGCGGGGUAAAGGCCCACCAAGGCGACGAUCCGUAGCUGGUCUGAGAGGAUGAUCGGCCACGCUGGAACUGAGACACGGGCCAGACUCCUAAGGGAGGCAGCAGUGGAGAAUGUUGGACAAUGGGCGAAAGCCUGAUCCAGCCAUACCGCGUGGGUGAAGAAGGCCUUCGGGUUGUAAAGCCCUUUUGUUGGGAAAGAAAAGCAGCAGGUUAAUACCCCGCUGUUCUGACGGUACCCAAAGAAUAAGCACCGGCUAACUUCGUG
This 492-nucleotide ribosomal RNA is filed under the name uncultured bacterium. RNAcentral's name for it is "partial 16S ribosomal RNA". It matches the Rfam family "Bacterial small subunit ribosomal RNA", at positions 29 to 507 of the family's 1533-position model. The record is from RNAcentral.